This 397-nucleotide ribosomal RNA is filed under the name uncultured bacterium. RNAcentral's name for it is "partial 16S ribosomal RNA". It matches the Rfam family "Bacterial small subunit ribosomal RNA", at positions 523 to 918 of the family's 1533-position model. The record is from RNAcentral.
AUACGUAGGUGACAAGCGUUAUCCGGAUUUACUGGGCGUAAAGGGCGUGUAGGCGGUCUUGCAAGUCAGAAGUGAAAUUCCUGAGCUCAACUCGGGCGCUGCUUCUGAAACUGCAGGACUUGAGUGCUGGAGGGGAUAGCGGAAUUCUUAGUGGAGCGGUGAAAUGCGUAGAUAUAUGGAGGAACACCAGUGGCGAAGGCGACUCUCUGGUCUGUAACUGACGCUGAGGCUCGAAAGCGUGGGGAGCAAACAGGAUUAGAUACCCUGGUAGUCCACGCCCUAAACGAUGAAUGCUAGGUGUAAGAGGUACCGACCCCUUUUGUGCCGGAGUCAACACAAUAAGCAUUCCGCCUGGGGAGUACGGCCGCAAGGUUGAAACUAAAAUGAAUUGGCGGGG